UACAGAGGGGGCAAGCGUUGUUCGGAAUUACUGGGCGUAAAGGGCGCGUAGGCGGCCUUCUAAGUCGAACGUGAAAUCCCUGGGCUCAACCCAGGAACUGCGUCCGAUACUGGAAGGCUUGAAUCCGGGAGAGGGAUGCGGAAUUCCAGGUGUAGCGGUGAAAUGCGUAGAUAUCUGGAGGAACACCCGUGGCGAAGGCGGUUCUCUGGAACGCAACUGACGCUGAGACGCGAAAGCGUGGGGAGCAAACAGG
This 253-nucleotide ribosomal RNA is filed under the name uncultured bacterium. Its description in RNAcentral is "partial 16S ribosomal RNA". It matches the Rfam family "Bacterial small subunit ribosomal RNA", at positions 524 to 776 of the family's 1533-position model. The record is from RNAcentral.